RNAcentral lists this ribosomal RNA (454 nucleotides) under uncultured Candidatus Xenohaliotis sp. RNAcentral's name for it is "partial 16S ribosomal RNA". Lineage: Bacteria; Pseudomonadati; Pseudomonadota; Alphaproteobacteria; Rickettsiales; Anaplasmataceae. The record is from RNAcentral.
GGACUUAUUGAUAGAAUUAACGUCAUCAUCCUCUUUCUCAAAAGAGCUUUACAAUUGUUCAUCGUCUAGAUCACUCAGGAAAUAUCACUGGAUCAAGCUUUCGCUCAUUGUCCAAUACUCAUCACUGCUGCUAGCUACACUACUUUGGUAGUGUAAUCGCUAUUGGGACCGUGUCUCAGUUCCCAUGUGGCUGGUCAUUCUCUCAAACCAGCUAAAGAUCAUCGGCUUGGUGGGCUAUUACUCCGCCAACUACCUAAUCCCCUAUAAGUAGAUUUGUUAGCGAUAAAUCUUUUGUAACUUUUCUAAAAAAAAUUACGUAUUCCGGAUUUCCCAAGAACUAACAAGCACUAUUACUUAUAUAUCCUCACCCGUUCGCCACUAUAAAAUCGUUAUCGUUCGACUCGCAUGUGUAAGUUGUAUUCCAAGCGUUCAUUCUGAGCCAGGAUCAAACUCU